Molecule: non-coding RNA, 201 nt
Organism: Paramuricea clavata
Lineage: Eukaryota; Metazoa; Cnidaria; Anthozoa; Malacalcyonacea; Plexauridae
Source: the annotation of a GenBank genome assembly
AUUUUUUAUAGUUCUGCAAGUUGCAGCAUUGAAACUCGAAAGUUUCGAUGUUUUUAGCCAGUUUAUCAUGGUAUUGUUUCUCAAAGACUGCCAGUUUACUGUAGACCUUACUUCCAAACACUUUCCUUAUAAAAGAAAGCAAGAAAUUCGUCGGAGAAUCACAGACUAUGGAGGGACAAUUUCGUACAUUCUAAACAACAA